Molecule: transfer RNA, 65 nt
Filed under: Speleketor irwini
Lineage: Eukaryota; Metazoa; Arthropoda; Insecta; Psocodea; Prionoglarididae
Description: tRNA-Ala
Source: RNAcentral
AGGGUAAUAGUUUAAAUAAAAACAUUUGAAUUGCAAACAAAAAUUAUUUUACAAAAUUUACCUUA